RNAcentral lists this ribosomal RNA (508 nucleotides) under uncultured bacterium. RNAcentral's name for it is "partial 16S ribosomal RNA". It matches the Rfam family "Bacterial small subunit ribosomal RNA", at positions 28 to 523 of the family's 1533-position model. The record is from RNAcentral.
GACGAACGCUGGCGGCGCGCUUAACACAUGCAAGUCGAGCGAGAACCAGGACUUCGGUCCUGGGGACAGCGGCGAACGGGUGAGUAACACGUGGAUAACCUGCCCUCGGCACCGGGAUAGCCCGGGGAAACCCGGAUUAAUACCGGAUGGCCCUUCCGGCUCACGAGCCGGUCGGAAAAGGUAGCUUCGGCCUCCGGCCGAGGAUGGGUCCGCGGCGGAUUAGCUUGUUGGUGGGGUAACGGCCUACCAAGGCUCCGAUCCGUAGCUGGUCUGAGAGGACGAUCAGCCACACUGGGACUGAGACACGGCCCAGACUCCUACGGGAGGCAGCAGUGGGGAAUCUUGCGCAAUGGGCGAAAGCCUGACGCAGCGACGCCGCGUGAGGGAGGAAGGCCUUCGGGUUGUAAACCUCUUUCAGGAGGGACGAAGCUACUCGGGUGAAUAGCCCAGAGGGUGACGGUACCUCCAGAAGAAGCCCCGGCUAACUACGUGCCAGCCGCCGCCGUAA